This 301-nucleotide unclassified non-coding RNA is filed under the name Hevea brasiliensis (rubber tree). Lineage: Eukaryota; Viridiplantae; Streptophyta; Magnoliopsida; Malpighiales; Euphorbiaceae. The record is from RNAcentral.
UAAUAAUUCUCUGGAUCUGCAUAACUGCAAUUUGUACAUGAAAUAAUAGUUAAAAAAUUUUCCAAAAUCAUUGUUAUGCAAAAAUUAGAAUUUUCUUUUUGUCUUUAAUUUCACUUUUUUUUUUUUAAACUAUUCUGUAGAAGUAGACUAAGUAAUAGCAAUAUUGUGAUUAUUCUUAGUAAGGAAAAAAUUAAUUAACUUUAACUCGGGUUGAAACUAUUCCUAAAGCCAAAUCUCAACUAAGGCUCGAUCAACAAAAACAAAAAUCAUCAAAUUUCUUACACAUUGGUUCCCUUCCAAA